UGUGGUGGGAGAACUGACUUCAGAGAAAGCCAUCCUGGACAGGUGAGGUGGCCCCACGAGGAACAGGUUUCAAUCAAAUGUUUUGUAGGCAGUGAUGCCCGUGCACCCUGGUGAGAAGGAGCAUGGCGUGAACAUCAGGAACCAGACUUCACCCUGGAGGAAAGGCCACAGGAUGAGGGAGGAUUUCUCGAGAGAUGAUGUGCGAGCUGAGGUCUGAAACAUGAGAAAAAUCCAGCUAUGGCAGGAGGAGAGGCAAUACGUGGUGCUCAUGAACAAAGCAAACAUUAAAGUCAGACCAGACCCGACAUUUGACUCAGUCUUAAUAUCCAGGUGAGCUUGGGCAAAUCACUCAUUAUUCCUAAGUCUUCAUCACUUCAUUCACAAAAUGGGGAUAACUGUGGCACCUACCUGUGAUUUUGUGAGAACUAAUGAAAUACUAUGAUUGGUGUUAUUGUGAUCAUUAUACCUAUUCUAAACUAUUUGACCAGGACAGGGAUGCAUGAUAACAUUAACAGAUUAGAAACUGUAAUGAGGUCUCUUGGGCAAAAUUCCAUACAAGCAAAUUACUGUCUCUCCAAAGCAUUCCUGCCACACUUAAUUCACCAUUCCCUGAAUAAAAUGUGCCAUCUUCAUUGUCCAGGUCUUUACAGUGCUGGUUUACCUGCCUGGGCAGCUCACUCCAUCCCAUCCCAGCCCAUUCCCCAUCCCUCCACCUCCCCCUUCCCUCCCCACUCUCAUACAACUCUUCCUCAUC
This 754-nucleotide long non-coding RNA is filed under the name Homo sapiens (human). Its description in RNAcentral is "HSALNT0341298". Lineage: Eukaryota; Metazoa; Chordata; Mammalia; Primates; Hominidae. The record is from RNAcentral.